GCCACUUUUCUCCGGUCAUUGUCGAAAUUAUCUUGAAGGUAUGGUUUACAUUAUGUUCAUCUUCUUCUCUUAUUUUUUUGUUGCUGGAAUUUUAAUUUAAGGAUUGUAGAUUGGAAUGCCAUAAAAUGAAAUGCAUGUUUAGAAAUGCCAUGUUUAGAAAUGCCAUAUUGAAUAAUGUGAUUGUAAUUUUCUAUGUGAUUGUAAUGUUUAGAAAUACCAUGUUAGGGUUAGGGUUAGGAUUGUAAUGUUUAGAAAUGCCAUGUUAGG
RNAcentral lists this long non-coding RNA (267 nucleotides) under Zostera marina. RNAcentral's name for it is "long non-coding RNA (ZMAR_LNC000673)". The record is from RNAcentral. Lineage: Eukaryota; Viridiplantae; Streptophyta; Magnoliopsida; Alismatales; Zosteraceae.